CUUUUAACAAGUUACUAUACUCCUAUGAACAAAAUUUGGAGCAUAUUUGUUUCUCUCUACCUGAUUUCUCCAGAAUUUGGAAACUACUUGAAUCAAACUGGACUUAAAGAGCAAAUAAAAGUCCCUUGGGAAAACUGGCCUCAUACCUUGUCUACACAGUUUCUGUACAGGGUUCCUGACUUGUGGAAUCCUAAGCCACCUUGAGGCAAAGGAAUGACUUCCAUGGAAUACAGAUGAAGUUGGUAAAAGGAAAUACAAAGGAGAAAAAGUACAUUUGUACUGUUUUAUGACUAUUACUGUGAUACACUGGUAAUCCUAUGAUGAUGGAAGGAACAAAUAAAUGUCUCAGGAUCUUGAUCUUCCGAUAAU
Molecule: long non-coding RNA, 369 nt
Organism: Nomascus leucogenys (northern white-cheeked gibbon)
Lineage: Eukaryota; Metazoa; Chordata; Mammalia; Primates; Hylobatidae
Exons: 3
Source: RefSeq, a predicted model, not a curated record